Non-coding RNA from Triticum aestivum (bread wheat), 135 nucleotides. The record is from Rfam. NCBI's taxonomy places the organism in Eukaryota, Viridiplantae, Streptophyta, Magnoliopsida, Poales, Poaceae.
GUACUACUCCCUCCGUCCGGAAAUACUUGUCGUCAAAAUGGAUAAAAUAGGAUGUAUCUAGACAUAUUUUAGUUCUAGAUACAUUCAUUUUUAUCCAUUUUGAUGACAAGUAUUUUCGGACGGAGGGAGUACAAU